UACAGACGGUGCGAGCGUUAAUCGGAAUUACUGGGCGUAAAGCGUGCGCAGACGGUCAUGCAAGUCGGGUGUGAAAUCCCCGGGCUCAACCUGGGAAUUGCAUUCGAGACUGCGUGGCUAGGGUGCGGAAGAGGGAAGCGGAAUUUCCGGUGUAGCGGUGAAAUGCGUAGAUAUCGGAAGGAACAUCGGUGGCGAAAGCGGCUUCCUGGGCCAGCACCGACGUUCAGGCACGAAAGCGUGGGGAGCAAACAGG
This 253-nucleotide ribosomal RNA is filed under the name uncultured bacterium. RNAcentral's name for it is "partial 16S ribosomal RNA". It matches the Rfam family "Bacterial small subunit ribosomal RNA", at positions 524 to 776 of the family's 1533-position model. The record is from RNAcentral.